This 253-nucleotide ribosomal RNA is filed under the name uncultured bacterium. RNAcentral describes it as "partial 16S ribosomal RNA". It matches the Rfam family "Bacterial small subunit ribosomal RNA", at positions 524 to 776 of the family's 1533-position model. The record is from RNAcentral.
UACGGGGGGGGCAAGCGUUGUUCGGAAUUACUGGGCGUAAAGGGCUCGUAGGCGGCCAACUAAGUCAGACGUGAAAUCCCUCGGCUUAACCGGGGAACUGCAUCUGAUACUGGAUGGCUAGAGAUUGGGAGAGGGAUGCGGAAUUCCAGGUGUAGCGGUGAAAUGCGUAGAUAUCUGGAGGAACACCGGUGGCGAAGGUGGCAUCCUGGACCAACACUGACGCUGAGGAGCGAAAGCCAGGGGAGCAAACAGG